UACGUAUGGUGCAAGCGUUAUCCGGAUUUACUGGGCGUAAAGGGAGCGCAGGCGGCGCGCCAAGUCUGAUGUGAAACCCCGGGGCUCAACCCCGGGCAUGCAUUGGAAACUGGCGGGCUGGAGUGCCGGAGAGGUAAGCGGAAUUCCUAGUGUAGCGGUGAAAUGCGUAGAUAUUAGGAGGAACACCAGUGGCGAAGGCGGCUUACUGGACGGCAACUGACGCUAAGGCUCGAAAGCGUGGGGAGCAAACAGG
This 253-nucleotide ribosomal RNA is filed under the name uncultured bacterium. Its description in RNAcentral is "partial 16S ribosomal RNA". It matches the Rfam family "Bacterial small subunit ribosomal RNA", at positions 524 to 776 of the family's 1533-position model. The record is from RNAcentral.